GGAUAGAAUUCUUUCAGUCAAGUCAGGUUAGAAGUUCCCAAGUACCUCUCCAAAUACUGAACAGAAUCGUGGAAGAUGAUCAGGAAACUAUAGCCCCAACUAAGGUUGCUUGCUUCUUUCAUAUUGGUGGUUGCUCAUGAUGCCUUUUGAAAGAAGAAUUUGCAAAGAAGAGAGAUCACACUUUGCAGCAAAUGCUACCUGAGUGAAAGGAGCUCUGACACGUAUUUCUCAAAAAGGUGAUUGGAUUGAUGGAGAACAGCUAUUCGUAAAUCAAAGUGAAACACCUGAUCAUCUACUUUUGCAUCGCCUAUCAUCUCAUACUAAUAAAGGUUAUUUUACAGCGAAGGUAUUAUAGAGCAGGCAGGAUGAGGAGUAGGCACAUGUCACGAGCUUAAAUAUUGGCCAGUGCACCAAGCCCUGGUAUUUAAGUGGAGAAGUGUAGAGUAAGGAGCCCAUUCAAAGCUAGAAACAAU
RNAcentral lists this long non-coding RNA (473 nucleotides) under Nicotiana benthamiana. Its description in RNAcentral is "long non-coding RNA (NBEN_LNC007049)". The record is from RNAcentral. Lineage: Eukaryota; Viridiplantae; Streptophyta; Magnoliopsida; Solanales; Solanaceae.